This 466-nucleotide ribosomal RNA is filed under the name uncultured bacterium. RNAcentral describes it as "partial 16S ribosomal RNA". It matches the Rfam family "Bacterial small subunit ribosomal RNA", at positions 28 to 507 of the family's 1533-position model. The record is from RNAcentral.
GAUGAACGCUGGCGGCGUGCUUAACACAUGCAAGUCGAACGAUGAAGCCCAGCUUGUCGGGUGGAUUCGUUGGGAACGGGUGAGUAACACGCGAGUAAACUGCCCUUAGCUCUGGGAUAAGUCUGGGCGACUGGGUGGAAUAACUGAUAGGAGAGUUAAUGCACCGGUGGGUGUUGGAAAGAUUUAGCGGUUUUGGAUGGAUUCGCGGCCUAUCAGCUCGUUUGUGAGGUAAUGGUGCACCAAGGCGACGACGGGUAGCCGGCCUGAGAGGGUGACCGGCCACACUGGGACUGAGACACGGCCCAGACUCCUACGGGAGGCAGCAGUGGGGAAUAUUGCACAAUGGGCGCAAGCCUGAUGCAGCGACGCCGCGUGAGGGAUGACGGCCUUCGGGUUGUAAACCUCUUUCAGUAGGGAAGAAGCGAAAGUGACGGUACCUGCAGAAGAAGCACCGGCUAACUACGUG